AUUUAAUGGAACCAGCCUUUUAUAAGUGUUCUGAUAUUUUCCUGUUGACCACUGAGUGACAAUACUCACUUCCUCAGCAUGCCAAACUUCUGUGGUCAAGGCUUCCCUGGACUCUCUUUGUUGCUCUACCUCUCAUAUUCAGAUGUCAACUCUGUCUGGUGCCUGAUUUGGUGUUACUAUGUUAACAGGAACUCAAAUAGCUCAGGAGAGAAGAAGAGCCUGGGUCAGGAAGCUAAAGGCCCAGUGGGGGUGCAGGAUGAGAAAGCACUGGAUGUGUGGAGCUGUGGGCUUGAAGAGUUGAAGAGUGAAGAAACAGAAAGAAGUGAUGACACUGUCUAA
This is a long non-coding RNA of Ictalurus punctatus (channel catfish), 339 nucleotides long. The record is from Ensembl. NCBI's taxonomy places the organism in Eukaryota, Metazoa, Chordata, Actinopteri, Siluriformes, Ictaluridae.